Molecule: transfer RNA, 67 nt
Filed under: Oreichthys crenuchoides
Lineage: Eukaryota; Metazoa; Chordata; Actinopteri; Cypriniformes; Cyprinidae
Description: tRNA-Cys
Rfam family: tRNA
About the family: Transfer RNA (tRNA) molecules are approximately 80 nucleotides in length. Their secondary structure includes four short double-helical elements and three loops (D, anti-codon, and T loops).
Source: RNAcentral
AACCCCGUGGUGAAUAACACGUAGGAUUGCAAAUCCUGAAAUGUAGACUAAUACUCUGCCGGGGUUU